This 538-nucleotide long non-coding RNA is filed under the name Citrus sinensis (sweet orange). RNAcentral describes it as "long non-coding RNA (CSIN_LNC002698)". The record is from RNAcentral. Lineage: Eukaryota; Viridiplantae; Streptophyta; Magnoliopsida; Sapindales; Rutaceae.
CAAAAUUAUGGUCACCAGCAGCAUUUCGUGUUCUCUUAACAAUUUGCUGUGUCCCUCAAAUAAUGCCUCAUUCUCAUGUAUCAGCCGAAGAAUAUUACAUCCGCCAACCGCCUCGCAGUGUCAUUCAAACUCCCAACAAACGAUCUGAAUCCGAUCCUCAACAGGUAAAUACAUAUAACAAGAAGAAAACAUUCACGCCCAUUAUAAUUAGUUCUUUAAUUUUCACUUUGUUCAACAACCUUUUACUUCUCUUUUUAGGUCCAUAUUUCAUUGGCGGCGAAAGAUUAUAUUAGAGUUUCUUGGAUAACGGAUGACAAGGAAGCAGAAUCAGUGGUGGAGUAUGGAAAAUUACCAGGGAGAUAUAACACAGUGGCUACCGGAGAACAUACCUCGUAUCAAUUCUUCUUUUAUAAAUCCGGCAAGAUCCACCACGUUAAAAUUGGACCUCUUGAACCAGCCACUACUUAUUAUUACCGAUGCGGCGGUCGUGGGCCCGAGUUUUCAUUCAAGAUGCCUCCGGCAAAUUUUCCCAUAGAAU